GUGGGGAAUAUUGGGCAAUGGGCGAGAGCCUGACCCAGCGACGCCGCGUGAGGGAUGACAGCCUUCGGGUUGUAAACCUCUGUUGUAUGGGAAGAAGGAAGUGACGGUACCAUACGAGGAAGCUCCGGCUAACUACGUGCCAGCAGCCGCGGUAAUACGUAGGGAGCGAGCGUUGUCCGGAAUUACUGGGCGUAAAGGGCACGCAGGCGGUCAUAUAAGUCAGCUGUUAAAUGUAUGGGCUUAACCGAUGCAUGCGGUUGAAACUGUAUGACUGGAGUACUGGAGAGGUAAGCGGAAUUCCCGGUGUAGCGGUGAAAUGCGUAGAUAUCGGGAAGAACACCAGUGGCGAAGGCGGCUUACUGGCCAGUUACUGACGCUGAGGUGCGAAAGCCAGGGGAGCGAACCGGAUUAGAAACCCCAGUAGUCC
RNAcentral lists this ribosomal RNA (427 nucleotides) under uncultured bacterium. RNAcentral's name for it is "bacterial SSU rRNA". It matches the Rfam family "Bacterial small subunit ribosomal RNA", at positions 354 to 796 of the family's 1533-position model. The record is from RNAcentral.